AGACAGUUUCGACACUUUGCAAAGACAAAGACCAGAGGGAGGAGGAAAAGGAGGACGAGGAGGAAGAGAGAGAAGGAAGGGGCGAUGUGAGCUGGGGAAGGGGUGCGUGUUCGGGACACCCCCCGCUUAUUCUCCCCCUCAGCCCCUCUUCCCCUCAAAGCCCCAGAAACUUCCGCGUGGCUCCCACGGCGGGCGCUGGUACCACUUUCAGAUGCAACCGUUCGGACGCAGAAAUGCCGAUAGGAGCAAUGAGCAUCUCCAGGGGCUGUGGCGAGCAGAUGCUGUGACCUUGGUGACCAGGACAGCCAUCUGAGGACCAGGAAUGGAUACCCCCUCAGCCCACUGAGGGACUGCCUCACAGGAAUGACUAGAAAUGCGGGACCCAGGUGAGAGCUCGGCUGUGCCCACACUGGGGGCCACGUGUCAGCCCAGCGCGUGCUCCCCAGAGCCCCGAUCCAGGGCUUGGCGACACUGCUGACGCUCCUUCUCGUGUCUCUUCUCCUCCCUUUGCCGGCGAAGUGACUGUCUUCCUUUAGCCACCUGAUUGAGAACAUCUGGCCGGCGGGGCAGACAUCAAAGCAGGAGCCCCCCCUCGAGGGCCCCAGGGGUCCCCAGAAGCCCCAGGCUGCUCCUGAUGGCUCGGGGGAUGCUCGGUCAGCGGCGCGGCUCACACAGUGUUUUCCUGAAAUGCUUUUUGUCCGGAAGCGCUCAGUGUGAGCUUUGCAAAGCUCAGCCUCAGCCUUUGAAAAUCCACAUCAGUUC
Molecule: long non-coding RNA, 762 nt
Filed under: Sus scrofa (pig)
Lineage: Eukaryota; Metazoa; Chordata; Mammalia; Artiodactyla; Suidae
Description: lncRNA (ENSSSCG00000059334.1)
Source: RNAcentral